This is a small nucleolar RNA of Suncus etruscus (white-toothed pygmy shrew), 129 nucleotides long. RefSeq annotates it as small nucleolar RNA SNORA51. Lineage: Eukaryota; Metazoa; Chordata; Mammalia; Eulipotyphla; Soricidae. The record is from RefSeq and is a predicted model, not a curated record. The transcript has a single exon.
AAUUUCCUUAAUGAUGACAGUCAGUUCUUUACACUGACUAUAUAGAAAGAGGAGGUACAUUAAAUACACCCCCUAUACAUCUCAACACAAACCCUUUACCUGGUCUGUAUUGUGAAUUGGGGGACCAAA